GUGAGUGAAAAAGGUUGAGGAGGCUUGUAUUUAUGGGCAAAACACAACCAACAAGAAAACAGUUUUUCACCAAUCCACAGUUGAUCAUCGACCACAGGUCAUCAAGAUUUGUCAUUUAGCUUGUUUUGAAUUCUCGUACAUAGUUCAAUGACUAUAUUCAUCCUUCAACACCUUUUACACACCCAUACCUCUGAUCCUUGAGUUCUUAAAGCAACCAUUUGACCUCCAUCAAGAAUUGUGAUUACUUUUCAAAGCAUGUUGAUGGUUUGGUAAAGUGUGGUUGAUUUCUUUCCAUUUUAGAUAAGAUUUUGUCUCCCACUAUAAUUAUAUCCCACAAAAUGGAAAGAACUCAACUAUACCUUUUUAGUUUUGAAUUUCAAAGUCACUCCAAUUAGUUUCAAGCUAAAUCAAUUCCUUCAAGAAUUGUGUUUACUUUUCAAAGCAUGUUGACGGUUUGGUAAAGUGUGGUUGAUUUCUUUCCGUUUUAGAUAAGACUUUGUCUCCCACUAUAACUAUACCUUUUCAAUUUUGAAUUGCAAAGUCACUCUAAUUAGUUUCAAGCUAAAUCAAUUCCUUCGGGACUUUACCUCUUGUUAUUAGAUAAAUCUUAAUUAAUUAUCUUGUUGUUAAGCCUUGUUUAAUUUAUCUCUCUAAUCCUCAAUCCAUUUACUUGAUGUAUAAUGCUUUGAUCCUUGUAUGUUGUAGAUGAUUUCCCGUUCUUAAUCUUUGUAGACUUAGAAUCUUCAUGUUAUGCUUUGAUCUGUAACCUUUUCAUAUGAUUAUAAUCUUCAUAUUGUAUACUUUGAUCCUCGUACUUGGUAGUAUGUGGUGAUCUUUGUAUUUUGUGAAUCAUUAAGUGUUAAAUGACAUGUAUGUGGUAUAUGCACAUCCUUAAUCAACAUUCAUCAACAUAAGUAAUAAGUUCAAGACAUUAUUAAGACAUGGAAUUAUUUGGAAUUUAAUCAUUUCAUAAUUUUCUUAAUCCUUUGUAUGCCUUGAUUUGUGUAAUGUAUCCCAUGUGACUAAGAGGGUGUUUGCGAUUACGUUUUGAAGAGAUUAUUUGAUUAUUGCGUUUGUAAAACAUAAAUAAUCUAAAAAAAGUGUUUGGAUGAAAAAGUGAUUAUCUGCCUCCAAAACGCAGUUUUGGAGAAUCAUGUACCUACAUGCUUUUUCAAAACGCAGUUUUGAAAACGCAAAAUCUAUUUGAAAACGCAAAAUCUAUUUGAAAACGCAUAAUCUAUUUUGAAAACGCAACACCAAACACCCCCUAAAUUUAAGAGAAAAUAAUU
Molecule: long non-coding RNA, 1289 nt
Filed under: Helianthus annuus (common sunflower)
Lineage: Eukaryota; Viridiplantae; Streptophyta; Magnoliopsida; Asterales; Asteraceae
Description: hypothetical non coding rna
Source: RNAcentral